CUUUCCAAGGGUGGUUUUCAC
This 21-nucleotide microRNA is filed under the name Mus musculus (house mouse). RNAcentral describes it as "microRNA 5136". The record is from RNAcentral. Lineage: Eukaryota; Metazoa; Chordata; Mammalia; Rodentia; Muridae.